GCCGAGGUCGCAUAACCUGGCAUUGCGCAGGAUUGCUAAUCCUGUUCCGAAAGGAAUUGUGGGUUCAAAAAUAAUUGAGAGCACUAUCAUGAAUUUGGCUUUGUGCCUUUCAAUGAUUGAUAGUCCCACCCUCGGCG
RNAcentral lists this transfer RNA (137 nucleotides) under Candidatus Woesearchaeota archaeon. RNAcentral's name for it is "tRNA-Ser". Lineage: Archaea; Nanobdellati; Candidatus Woesearchaeota. The record is from RNAcentral.